This 492-nucleotide ribosomal RNA is filed under the name uncultured bacterium. RNAcentral's name for it is "partial 16S ribosomal RNA". It matches the Rfam family "Bacterial small subunit ribosomal RNA", at positions 29 to 507 of the family's 1533-position model. The record is from RNAcentral.
AGUGAACGCUGGCGGUAGGCCUAACACAUGCAAGUCGAACGGCAGCACAGUAAGAGCUUGCUCUUACGGGUGGCGAGUGGCGGACGGGUGAGGAAUACAUCGGAAUCUACUUUUUCGUGGGGGAUAACGUAGGGAAACUUACGCUAAUACCGCAUACGACCUACGGGUGAAAGCAGGGGAUCUUCGGACCUUGCGCGAUUGAAUGAGCCGAUGCCGGAUUAGCUAGUUGGCGGGGUAAAGGCCCACCAAGGCGACGAUCCGUAGCUGGUCUGAGAAGAUGAUCAGCCACACUGGAACUGAGACACGGUCCAGACUCCUACGGGAGGCAGCAGUGGGGAAUAUUGGACAAUGGGCGCAAGCCUGAUCCAGCCAUACCGCGUGGGUGAAGAAGGCCUUCGGGUUGUAAAGCCCUUUUGUUGGGAAAGAAAAGCAGCAGGUUAAUACCCCGCUGUUCUGACGGUACCCAAAGAAUAAGCACCGGCUAACUUCGUG